RNAcentral lists this ribosomal RNA (253 nucleotides) under uncultured bacterium. RNAcentral describes it as "partial 16S ribosomal RNA". It matches the Rfam family "Bacterial small subunit ribosomal RNA", at positions 524 to 776 of the family's 1533-position model. The record is from RNAcentral.
UACGUAGGGUGCGAGCGUUAAUCGGAAUUACUGGGCGUAAAGCGUGCGCAGGCGGUUUUGUAAGCCAGAUGUGAAAUCCCCGGGCUUAACCUGGGAAUGGCAUUUGGGACUGCAAGGCUCGAGUGCGGCAGAGGAGACUGGAAUUCCUGGUGUAGCAGUGAAAUGCGUAGAUAUCAGGAGGAACACCGAUGGCGAAGGCAGGUCUCUGGGCCGACACUGACGCUCAUGCACGAAAGCGUGGGGAGCAAACAGG